This 519-nucleotide ribosomal RNA is filed under the name Segetibacter sp. VITPRS48. RNAcentral's name for it is "bacterial SSU rRNA". It matches the Rfam family "Bacterial small subunit ribosomal RNA", at positions 9 to 522 of the family's 1533-position model. Lineage: Bacteria; Pseudomonadati; Bacteroidota; Chitinophagia; Chitinophagales; Chitinophagaceae. The record is from RNAcentral.
CGAGUUUGAUCCUGGCUCAGGAUGAACGCUAGCGGCAGGCUUAACACAUGCAAGUCGAGGGGCAGCGCGGGUAGCAAUACCUGGCGGCGACCGGCAAACGGGUGCGGAACACGUACGCAAUCUGCCCUUACCCGGAGCAUAGCCCGAAGAAAUUCGGAUUAACUCUCCAUAAGAUAGUAGAAUGGCAUCAUUUAGCUAUUAAAAAUUUAUUGGGUAAGGAUGAGCGUGCGUCCCAUUAGCUAGUUGGUAGGGUAACGGCCUACCAAGGCGACGAUGGGUAGCUGGUGUGAGAGCACGACCAGCCACACGGGCACUGAGACACGGGCCCGACUCCUACGGGAGGCAGCAGUGAGGAAUAUUGGUCAAUGGACGCAAGUCUGAACCAGCCAUGCCGCGUGAAGGAUGAAGGCCUUCUGGGUUGUAAACUUCUUUUAUGUGGGAAGAAACCUCUGAUUUCUAUUAGAGUUGACGGUACCAUAGGAAUAAGCACCGGCUAACUCCGUGCCAGCAGCCGCCGCC